RNAcentral lists this ribosomal RNA (600 nucleotides) under uncultured bacterium. Its description in RNAcentral is "bacterial SSU rRNA". It matches the Rfam family "Bacterial small subunit ribosomal RNA", at positions 46 to 638 of the family's 1533-position model. The record is from RNAcentral.
GCCUACACAUGCAAGUCGAACGGUAACAGGAAGCAGCUUGCUGCUUCGCUGACGAGUGGCGGACGGGUGAGUAAUGUCUGGGAAACUGCCUGAUGGAGGGGGAUAACUACUGGAAACGGUAGCUAAUACCGCAUAACGUCGCAAGACCAAAGAGGGGGACCUUCGGGCCUCUUGCCAUCGGAUGUGCCCAGAUGGGAUUAGCUAGUAGGUGGGGUAACGGCUCACCUAGGCGACGAUCCCUAGCUGGUCUGAGAGGAUGACCAGCCACACUGGAACUGAGACACGGUCCAGACUCCUACGGGAGGCAGCAGUGGGGAAUAUUGCACAAUGGGCGCAAGCCUGAUGCAGCCAUGCCGCGUGUAUGAAGAAGGCCUUCGGGUUGUAAAGUACUUUCAGCGGGGAGGAAGGCGAUAAGGUUAAUAACCUUGUCGAUUGACGUUACCCGCAGAAGAAGCACCGGCUAACUCCGUGCCAGCAGCCGCGGUAAUACGGAGGGUGCAAGCGUUAAUCGGAAUUACUGGGCGUAAAGCGCACGCAGGCGGUCUGUCAAGUCGGAUGUGAAUCCCCGGGCUCAACCUGGGAACUGCAUUCGAACUGGCA